UACGUAGGGUGCAAGCGUUGCCCGGAUUUAUUGGGCGUAAAGGGCGCGUAGGCGGCUCUGCACGUUCGUUGUGAAAUCGCCCGGCUCAACUGGGCGGGGUCAGCGGAUACGGCAGAGCUUGAGCAAGCUAGGGGGCAAUGGAAUUCCCGGUGUAGUGGUGGAAUGCGCAGAUAUCAGGAAGAACACCCGUGGCUAAGGCGGUUCUCUAGUACGGUACUGACGCUGAGACGCGAAAGCGUGGGGAGCGAACAGG
This 253-nucleotide ribosomal RNA is filed under the name uncultured bacterium. Its description in RNAcentral is "partial 16S ribosomal RNA". It matches the Rfam family "Bacterial small subunit ribosomal RNA", at positions 524 to 776 of the family's 1533-position model. The record is from RNAcentral.